This 201-nucleotide long non-coding RNA is filed under the name Oryza brachyantha (malo sina). RNAcentral describes it as "long non-coding RNA (OBRA_LNC003453)". Lineage: Eukaryota; Viridiplantae; Streptophyta; Magnoliopsida; Poales; Poaceae. The record is from RNAcentral.
AACGUAUACUCAUUUCCUUAGGGAGUCGGAUGGUUCUCAUAAACUCUUUUAUAAAGUAAAUGCGCUCCCUUUACACUUUGAUGCUUAAUGAGAAAAUAACUUUGAUUAAUACGAUCCACAGAUCUCAGAUCCAAUGGCUAAUGUGGAUGACAAAGGGAAUGGGCGCACAAUAAACACGCGUGGGUUGGGAUUUUAUGAACC